GGUCCCGUGGUGUAGCGAUUAUUACUCAGGACUCUGAAUCCUGCGACGGGAGUUCAAAUCCCCUCGAGACCU
This is a non-coding RNA of Nippostrongylus brasiliensis, 72 nucleotides long. NCBI's taxonomy places the organism in Eukaryota, Metazoa, Nematoda, Chromadorea, Rhabditida, Heligmosomidae. The record is from Rfam.